Non-coding RNA from Osmia lignaria (orchard mason bee), 9772 nucleotides. The record is from RefSeq and is a predicted model, not a curated record. Lineage: Eukaryota; Metazoa; Arthropoda; Insecta; Hymenoptera; Megachilidae.
GCCUGUUGUCCGGUGAGAAGGCGCGGACGAACAAGGGUGCCAGUUGGUGUCGAGUGGCUUCCUUUUGUCCAGCCGGUCGGUCGAACGUGCUCGUCGACUGGUUUCCUGGCUGCGGAUCGUUCACCAAUUCCUUCACGGAUUCGCGCGUCAGCUGUGUCGAACAGCAACCAGUGGAACGUUCGAAAGCGCGAACACCAGCGCGUCGCAACUUACCAUUGUCGAACGCGUAUCCGUGUUGUCGCGGCCAACCGGUCCGGUUACCCGGUGUCGGAUGACUCCCCCCGUACGACACAGCCUUCCCGUAGUCGUAGAAAGGACGCAAUACCCCGUAGGAACAAAGGUUAUCGCGCGGCGAGCAAAGCACCUCGUCGUCGCGGUUUCUCAUCGGCGGCGUCGUCGGUGGUGCGCCGGCCCGCGCGUCCCGUUAAACUCCUCGCGAUUACACCUUCCCGUGCACCUUCCUAUCUUACGUCCGUGAUGGCGGCUGUACCUGAUAUGUCGCACCUCACCCCCGAGGAGAGGAGCACCAUCGAGGAGGUUAUGAUCAGACAUAAACAGGAGGAGGAGAAGGAAAAUGAGAUAAUGAGACGAAAGCAGGACGAGGUGAAGAUCCUCGAGGAAAGGAUACGGGCCUGUUCGGAGAAACACAAGAAGGCGGGAGUGGAGCUGCAUGCCACGUGUCACAUAUGCCUGAAAACCAAGUUCGCCGACGGCGUCGGCCACAUCUGCAACUACUGCAGCAUCCGGUGCUGCGCACGCUGCGGCGGAAAGGUCACUCUACGGUCGAACAAGGUAAUAUGGGUGUGCAUCCUUUGUCGCAAGAAGCAAGAACUGCUGUCGAAGACCGGACAAUGGAUGUCGAAGGCGGGACUCGCUGCCGGGGACAACGCGAUGCUGCGACGGAUGCAGGACAUGCAGGUGGGUGGUCCUCCGGGACUCGUGGACCAAACUCAGGAUAAAAGACCGAAACUCGAGAGAGCGCACAGCGCGGCGGAAAAGGAGAAUUUGCCAUUGUUACUAAGGAGCGGAAGUCUGCUCAGAAGACAGUACUCUCAGCAAGAGCAAGGCCCGGGGCGACGAUUAUCCACCAGCGAUAGCGGGGUGGAUAUGUCCGUUUCGCCUCAUUCGAGAAGUUUGCCAACCCCGCACGUAGCUGCUUCUCAUCAAAUUCAACAACCGCCGAGACAUCCGGACGCGUACGCCGAGGAUGACCCGAGUUUGUACAGAGGCGAGAUCGACGGUCUUAUGAAACAGCUCAACUACCAGAGACAACGACCGAUCUACACGGAUCAGAAUACGGAUCUCGCGAUGACAUAUGGUCAGCCAACGGUAGAAGCCGGCCCACCACGUAGCGCGGUGCAUCUUCCUCAGCAACAUUCGGUGCAUCAAACGCAGAGCGCGCACCCGCCACAACCGGUGGGUGGACAGGGUGGUCUUCAGCCUCAAAGAAGCUUCAGCAGCAGCGAGGAAGAACGAAGCACACCCGAGUGUGCCAGCGACGAGCCUGACGAGUCCGAGAAGGGGAAGGGGUACUACCACCAUACGGGAGGUCCGAUGUCAAUGUCCGGCAGUGGACGUAGAUACAACGGACCCCACAACGGGCAUCACAACACGGGCGCGAUGACCAUCGAGUAUAACGGUCAUCACCCACCGCGAGAGCCGCGAAAAGAAGAAAGCACUCUCGUCAGACGGAGCUUCCGAAGGAGUGGCGACGAAUGGCGCGCCGACAGUCGGAGGUUCACGGAGAGAAGGGGGAAAAAGACAGUGCGAUUUGACGGUGGGACCAAUGUCGGCGGCCCUCAGGAGGAUUGGUCUUGGGAGGCCGAUCGGCAGGGUAGCCAAGACAGCGCGACCAAAGACUCCGGGAUAGACACCUCUAGCACGUUCACGAGCAGUGAGGACAGCAACAGGGGCGACCUGCCCAAGCAUCCGUUAUCCUGGCAAAUGAGCAGAGACGGCCAGAAGAUCAUUGGCCACAUGGUGUUGCGAAAGCAGCCCGGUUCCGGAAGCAGUAGUAGCAUACUCGGGCUGAAAGUGGUCGGCGGGAAACUAUUGGAGGAUGGUUCUAUGGGCGCCGUCAUCGAGAAGGUCAAGGAGGGUAGCACGGCUGAUAUAGAAGGUCAACUGAGACCCGGUGACGAGGUGAUCAAGUGGAAUGGCAGGUCCCUUCAGGGCAAGAGUUUCCGUGAAGUUUGCGACAUCAUCGCCGAGUCGAGGCAAGAGCCCCAAGUGGAGCUGAUAGUUUCGCGAAAUCUAUCCCCGACGAGCGGUCCGGUGACGAUGCCCGCAGGACCGACGCCUACGACGCCGAUGGCGUCCAGAAGGAUCGCCGCACAGACUCAAUGGAGGCAAAAGCACCCGGAGUCGAUUUCCGGCCCGCAACAACCGCAUCACAAAGAUUAUAUGCUUUUUCGUAUUCCAGGUCUUAAGAAAUGUAUUCUAUGGGAAUUAUACGACGCGAGGCGCGAGAAACCUUCGGUUUUAGUGACCUCGCCCGGCUCGCCGGAUCUCCACGCUCAGGGACGGGCCAGACAUCUACGCCAUCCUCCUGGAAACGCGAACGUGGGUGGUAAUCUUCAGGUGAAGCUCAGCUUCGAUCCUAUGGCGCUUCGAUUGAUCGUCACGUUGAUCUGCGCGGCCGGGCUCACGCCCAGGAGCAACGGACAGCCUAGAAAUCCCUACGCCAAGAUCUUCCUGCUUCCGGACAAGGGCGAGAAGUCGAAGAGACGGACGCAAACAUUGGCGAACACGAACGACCCGAGAUGGAACCAGACGUUCGUCUACGAAGGUAUCAGGGGCGCAGAAUUGAGGAAAAGGGCGCUGGAGAUCACGGUUUGGGACUACGGGAAGUACGACACGAACGAUUUCCUAGGCGAAGCUGUGCUCGAGUUAGCGACCGCCCGUCUGGACGAGGAACCGGAAUGGCUACCUCUGAUCGGACACGGCGAACAUCGACACAUUGGAUACUAUCAGGAGCCCGAUGACAUGGUGAUAACUCCGGUGGACUGCCAUCUCAGUCCACCGUCGACGACGUCGCGGCUGAGCGACUCUGACACUUCCGAAUGCGAUAUCACGGACUGCGACGUCUCCAGGGAGCAAAGGAGAACAGCUGACGGUGCCAGUAUAAGCAGUAUCGGCAGUUCCUCCAGGUUUCAUAAUAUGCCGUCAAAUUAUAAGCGCCACUAUUCUAGCCCCCCGCCGGAAAGGGAGCUAUGCCUGGACGGGGAGCAUCGAAGUCGCAGGGACAUGUCGCCGCAGGGGCGUAAACGAGCCGCCCUCAUGAUACGCGACCAACCAGCGUCUAUUUCUGGUUACCAGACUUAUCGCAAGGAGGAUAUACAUCGAGGAAUGAUGGGGCACAGGUCGCACAGUGCAGCGCCUAUGGACUCGCCGAGCCUUCGAUACAGGGGAAGGUCUCAAAGUCCCACAGGUCAUCGCUCUCUGUCUCCGCCGGAACACAGAUCCAUGCCCUACUCGCACGGCUACGUGUCACCCAGAUUCGGCUCGAGGUCGGCAACUGCCACACCCACGGGUAGCCCUAAGAAGAGACAGUUACCCUUGAUCCCGUCAGCAUUGAAGGAAAGGGCUGCGAUGGAUCUCGAGGAAAGGGCGAGAUUUAUGAGACACCGUAACAGGCAGGUGCACACGACGUGCAGGAACACGGGGAUGGGAGGUUGGGAAAGACACUAUAGCGGACUGUCGGACUCGGAUCUGCCCUCGAUAGAUCACGAUCCGUUAUCUUUGUCGCACAGUCACGCUUAUCGAAUGCACAGACCGCGAAGGGGACAUUUAAGUCCCGACAAAGACGUACUUGGGGAUCUCGGUGACUCUGAUAUGGAGAGUAUAGCCUCCGUAACGAGUAGUGCCUUCAGUACGCAAUCGGAACGACCACGUGGAUCUAGAGGGCUAAUACCGACAGUUAAAAACGUUUUAAUACCCGGUGUCAUAUCCCCUAUGCCCCUGCCCCCUAGGCGCAAUAGGCGCAGGCACAGACUUAGGGUACCCUGCAGCGAAUGUCACUGUCCGAACAACAAUCCCACCAAGCCCAGGAGCAACAACCCAAGCAAGCACAAUCCCACCCCGCAUCCCCUCGUACGGAGCAAGUCCGCAGUGGUGCGCUCGUUGUACAGAAAGAUGCGUACGCCGUUCACGAGGUCGCAGACCGUCGACGAGAACAUGCUGAGAUAUUACAGCCCUGAGACCAGCGAGUACAGCGUCUCCGAGGGUUACAUGCUCAAGCCAGAGGAGCUUACCGGUAGCUCCAAGAAUCGUAUACCAGAGAUAUACGUGGAGGAUUGCCUUCAAGUCGACUUCAACGAUCGUCUCAUCGAGAAGUUUCGCGACAGAUACUCGUCGCCCUACCUUCUGGACAACGGUAUGCGUAGACGAUCUCGUAGCUGGCAGGAACGUGUCACGGGGAGAUCCGCGAAACCUAGACAACUCCAUCUCUUCUCGAGAGGCUUGCACGAUCUAACCGACGAUCUCGGCAUUAGGAACCUAGACAUUAGCAUACGACCGCGUAGGUCUUUUCUAUUCUCCAAAGCUAGAAGCUUCGAUUACGACGUGCUACACGAUGCCUAUGCAGAUCGUUACAGUUUCGGCCUGGGUGCCGGUAUGCUGUCGCGUCGCGCCAAGAGUUUCGAGUACGAUACAAUUUCCAGCAACAUAUUCAGCGACGACAGUCUACGAACCGCUAGACGAAAAUUGAAAAGAAACUUGUCUAUCAACGACGCUGGUUACGGCGACAAGAUACCCGCGCUGGGUGAUCAAAGCAAAUCGUACUUCGACUCGAACGGCGACGACAAGGUACCGAAGAGUCUGCUGAAUCGCGAGAAGAAUUACGAUUACCUGCUGAAACAGGAUCACAAACCGUUCUACGGUUACGAUUCCGAGUUCAGCUGCGGCGAGACUGAGAUUUACAUGCCGCGUUUCGAUAAACAGAACGUCGAUCCGAACCUCGCUCGGAAGAGUUAUCGCUCCUACAACCUGACCGGAGAGCAGUCUUUCAGCAGCGACGAUCAGAUCGGUCUGAGAAACGUCCUAGGCAGGGAGGAUCCGACGAAACGAAAAUACAUGGACUCGUCCUCCUUCGGCAGAGACAUGUCGGAGAAACGUACGAAGAAUCUCGACAGCGAUAUUUGCGAUUCGGCUAACGAUCACAUUUACUGCAGCAUCGACGAAGCACUCGCCUCGACGGACGGUUACGCUCGCGAUAGGGACGUCACUUGUUCACCGAUUCGCACGGUCGCCGAUUUGGAGCGUUACGACAAUCAGAGACCGAGCAGUCGGUCUCGCAGAAGAACGAAAAGCAACGAGUCUUAUUUAGAAAACGGAUACGAUAGUUACGAUUGGGACGUCGAGUACGACGAAGGGUUCAUCGACAGGGGAAAGAUCGAGGAUUACGACGAGAGACUGUACGAUUACGAGGACGAGGGCGUAGAUGAUUAUUACGACAGAAGAGAGGAGGCGAGUCGAGGAAGCGGACGGAAGAGGAGAACUUCGCGAUACCCAGAGGACGAGUACAUCGGCGACGAGUAUCGGGAUUAUCGUUCCGCCGAUGAGUACGAUUAUCAAACGCACAGCGGUCCAGUGUGCAGGGACUCGUAUCAGGAUAAUACGAUGCCACGGAGAAGACGCAGACGAAGCCGAAGAGGGAGCAGAGAAACGAGCAUCGGUGUAUACGAAAAUCUGCAACCGUAUCGGGACUUGUCGUCGAUGAAAGACAGCCUGACAGUUCCGAGCUUCUCGGAGAGCAAACGUAUGAUGCUCCAACGAGCCGAAUCGUCGCCGGUUUUGCGUUCCGACGAGGAAUUAAGCUCGGCGGAGAGAGCGGAGAGAGCCAGACGGUUAUAUCGACGCCGAAGAAACAGCAGCUGUCCCGAAGCCAGAGAGAUCCGAUACUACGAUACGCCUCGGCGGAAAGACGAAGAGAGAAGCACGAACUUCAUUCUGGACUCGGACGAGGAGUUCGGCUCGAUGGAGACGGUCGUGUGCGCGGACUGUUUCCGUCAAAAGAACGAUACGGUCAUGGUUAGCGAGGGUACUAGACCGGCAGGGUACUACGACGCGGAACAGGAACGGGACGUUUGUUGCAUAGAUUCGAGAUGCGGGUACGAGGACGCUCGAGUUCGCGACUAUCCGGAUACUUGCGAAUUGACUAGGUCGGGAUCGUUACGUUCGUCGUUGCAGUAUCGGUCUAGGCGUAAGAGUAGUUGUCCCGAGUGUCGGGAGUUAGCUAUGUCCUCGGAGUUAGGUAGGUCCGGUUCGAUGACGCGUAAAUCCGAGGAGAGAAGGCCGUCGAUAGACUCGAGGCACACUAGGUACCGUAGACGAAACAGCAGUUGCCCGGAGGCUAGGGACCUCGAGUUGCUCGAGAAGAGGCAGCAACAGCAACGUGAUCAACAGCAAGCCCAACAGCGUCAACAGCAGCAGGGUAGUAAGAGGAACGUAGCGAUCAGCGAUACCCUCGAGUACUACGAGUACUCGAUGGAGAGCGAGAGCCAGUGCAGCGAGAACUGCGGAUUUGGCCCGUGCGAUCCGCGUAGGCCCCGUAACCGAGCACCCCACCCCGGUAACGCUAAUUCAAGUCUCUUUGAUUCCCAAACCGCUACCUCCGACACUGCUAAAAACUACCACCCACGGGCCGUCGAUCACCACGAUACCUCACGAAACACGAAAACGUCGACCCGCGGCAACGCCGACGAAUCGACCGGGGCCCUAUCGACCACAUCCCCGACGUCGUCCAUCCGACGCCGUUCGCGGAAAAAAUCCGCCCACGACACCGGCGACCAACAACGCGGCGACGACGACCAACGGGAUCGCCGAUCCUCCUCCAUGCCUGAAAGCAGCGAGUACAGCGGACAAUCGAGCUCCUACGAAAAGACGUCCAGGAGUCAGACGGCUGAUAACGAGCGCGACGAUCAUGCCAAAAGGGGCCAGUUCACCAGGAGUCUUAGCAACACCGACGCCCCGCAAGACGAGAAAGUUGACGGUAGUUUGAGCGAUACGGCGAUCGGUCUGAACGUCGAAGACUCCUCGAGGAGGGGUCGCAAGAGUUCUCCCGGGAGUAAAAGCGGAAGCGGAAGCAGUAGCGGUGGCGGAAGCGCGGUGCAGUAUCAGUCAGGUCUUGGGAAGAAGAGUAACAGCACCAGUCAACUGUCCGCCACAGAGUGCGGUAUCGGCGGGAUCUUCGUCGGGAGUGGUAGCUCGGAGGCACGUGUCGGUUUAUCGAGCCGGAAACGCAACAGCACGCCGAGCAGCAUACAACGUUCCGAGGAGAUUGUACCCUAUCAACGCUUUGAAUCCGGAAAACAGUCGGGAUCGGUGGCCAGUGACACAGCCGGAAGUCUCAACUCGAUCUCUAGUUCCGAAGGAAGCUCUUGGUCUCCCAGUCUGCGAAUGACAGGCGAAACUGGCCAGUUGAGAGACUUCAUCGAAGAUCUGGGCCCUGGACAAGUGGUGGGAAGACAAGCAUUGGGUGCUCGUUGUUUGGGUGGGAUUCAGCUGUCGUUGACCCAGAAGAAGGGCUACCUUGAAGUGGAGGUCAUACGUGCCAAAGACCUUAAGCCAAAACAGGGCAGUAAAGCGAUUCCAGCUUCCUACGUGAAAGUUUAUCUGGUGAACGGGAAGAAAUGUAUCGCAAAGGCGAAAACGGACGCGGCUAGGAAAACGUUGGACCCAUUUUACCAACAAUCGUUAUCCUUUAGAGAGAAUUGUCGGGGUUGUAUACUGCAGGUGACGGUGUGGGGUGAUUACGGCCGAUUAGAGGGGAAAAAAGUGUUCAUGGGCAUCGCGCAGAUCGUGUUGGACGAACUGAACCUCAAUGAGAUGGUGUUCGGGUGGUACAAGCUGUUCGGCAACAUAUCCCUGGUCAGUGGACCUCCAUCCUUAGCUUUGUCCCGUCGAUCCUCGGCCACUUCCUUAGAAUCCUUUAAAAUCUAAGCAACAAUCCUUCCAGUAUCCUCUUUACACUUAACAAGACGUAGUGCAAAGUUCUUUUUAACUCUAAUUCCCAAUGAAAAAGAAAAUAACAAAAGUACAUAUAAAUAUAUAUAUUUGAUCGCGUUUAACAAUAUCUAUAUAGUUUUCUCCGACCAGAGUCUCGCUGUAGUUGUUCGCGAACGUUCAAGAUACAACAAGAAAAGACUCUUUUAGAAUCGUUAAGACAACGUAUAAUCGUAAGUUUGAUCGUUAGUUUAUCGUGGUUCAUAUCCGUUCCAUUAUCCCCCAAUGAUAACGCUAUUGAAAAUUCGGGAAAAAUCGAAUCACGAAACGAUUUGAUCGGCUCUGAAUACGGUAAUGUCCAGUUGACUCGAUCGUAGAGGAGAGUUUGCGUGGAUACAUUUGCGCGUUCGUGUCGAUCGACCGAACGAGUUAAGUGUGCUUUAUUUGCAAGAUGACCGCGAGAAUGGGAUAAGUGUGAAAGGUCGUACGAGAGGAGAUGUGUUUUCUAGAAACACCACGUAUCACAUAUCAUGUACGGCAUAUCAGACGAACCGCUAGUCUGUACGUAGACUAGAUCUGUAGAGAUAGCAGCCAUGUACCCGGACCGCCAGAUAGUUUUAGUGAAAUCGAUGCGGAGGUACUCUAUACGAGUUGGAUAGGAAUUGCAACGUGGUGUUCGGUGAGAAAGGAAGUGCCGUACGGUUGUGACUCGAUGUUCAAUUAUACCGAAGUGAAAGCAGAGAAGGAGAAGAACAGUGAAGUGAUGUAAAUUGUUCAUACGUGACAUCGAACAUUGUGAAUACAUCGUCACGCGAACGACUUAAAAAAUGAAACACGCAAUUUAAAUAAAUAUACAUAUAUAUAUAUAUAUAUAUAAUAUAGGCCACGCGUAAUUCGCGACAGACAUUUGCAAAACGUUUGUACAUAAUUUAGGAGGCUCCAAAGUGUUAAUCGCCCAGUGACGAUUUACAAUGAAGAUUUCCAAAAAUACGGUCGCACCAAACAAAGCAAACAAUACAGGAACAAAGAACAAACUACGAACUCGUUGUCAAAGUUUUUAGCCAAGAAAAUAUCAUCGUCAGAGCGAUAUAUAUAUUAUUAUUAUUUAUUGUAAAUACUAUAACAAUGAUAUAUACAUAUAUAUAUAUGAAAUUCGCGAUACGUAUGCGCGCAGCUGUUUAAAUGACGAACAAUUGCCUUGACCGUCGCGUUUUCGUUGCCUGGUUGCCAUCCGCUUCCGGUCUCCAAUCGAUUUUUAUUAACCACGAUCGACGAAACGAGCUAUCCGUUCGAUCGUUCAGGAUCGAAGUCGCGUGGCAAUUUGGCAAGGAGACGGGGAUAUCGUGAAUUAGCGAAUUGUUGUUGAACGUUAUAAAAAAAGUAGCCAUCUUCAACUAUUUUGCAUGGAAGAGUGUGCUUAUAUGUGCGCGUGUGUAUGGGUGUGCGAGAAAGGGAAGAAAGAUAAAAAGAAAAAAAAAGACGCGAAUGCUAAAAAAACUAUAUCGACUGUCAUAAUAUUGUGAUUCUGUUAGUUUUAUUUGAUUGUCGAGAACCUCACAGAUUCAGGUGUUUACGCGUACGGGGGACACAAAAGCCAUGUUGUACCAUUUAGGACUUUUAUUCUCUUUGUCGACUUGCACUCGAUACUUUAAAGGAAGCUCGUUUUUUUAACGUGAAUAUUUACUGAGAACGAACCGCCCACAAUAAAUCGCGUACUGAGCGGCGUUCCGCGGAUAAAGAAAUCGUGCCGCGAACGCUGCUGAUGAAUAUAUACGAGAAUAAUAAUAAAAAGGAACAAAAAAAAAAAAAGAAAAGAACAAAAAAAAAA